AACGAACGCUGGCGGCAUGCCUAACACAUGCAAGUCGAACGAGACCUUCGGGUCUAGUGGCGCACGGGUGCGUAACGCGUGGGAACCUGCCUUUAGGUUCGGAAUAACUCAGAGAAAUUUGAGCUAAUACCGGAUGAUGUCUUCGGACCAAAGAUUUAUCGCCUUUAGAUGGGCCCGCGUUGGAUUAGCUAGUUGGUGGGGUAAAGGCCUACCAAGGCGACGAUCCAUAGCUGGUCUGAGAGGAUGAUCAGCCACACUGGGACUGAGACACGGCCCAGACUCCUGCGGGGGGGAGCAGGGGGGAAUAUUGGAAAAGGGGCGAAAGCCUAAUCCAGCAAUGCCGGGUGAGGGAGGAAGGCCUUAGGGUUGAAAAGCUUUUUUACCCGAGUUGAUAAUGAAGGUAUCGGGGAAAAAAGCUCCGGCUAACUCCGU
This 432-nucleotide ribosomal RNA is filed under the name uncultured bacterium. RNAcentral's name for it is "partial 16S ribosomal RNA". It matches the Rfam family "Bacterial small subunit ribosomal RNA", at positions 29 to 506 of the family's 1533-position model. The record is from RNAcentral.